GAUGAACGCUGGCGGCGUGCCUAAUACAUGCGAGUCGAGCGAACAGAUGAGGAGCUUGCUCCUCUGACGUUAGCGGCGGACGGGUGAGUAACACGUGGAUAACCUACCUAUAAGACUGGGAUAACUUCGGGAAACCGGAGCUAAUACCGGAUAAUAUAUUGAACCGCAUGGUUCAAUAGUGAAAGACGGUUUUGCUGUCACUUAUAGAUGGAUCCGCGCCGCAUUAGCUAGUUGGUAAGGUAACGGCUUACCAAGGCAACGAUGCGUAGCCGACCUGAGAGGGUGAUCGGCCACACUGGAACUGAGACACGGUCCAGACUCCUACGGGAGGCAGCAGUAGGGAAUCUUCCGCAAUGGGCGAAAGCCUGACGGAGCCACGCCGCGUGAGUGAUGAAGGUCUUCGGAUCGUAAAACUCUGUUAUUAGGGAAGAACAAAUGUGUAAGUAACUAUGCACGUCUUGACGGUACCUAAUCAGAAAGCCACGGCUAACUACGUG
This 497-nucleotide ribosomal RNA is filed under the name uncultured bacterium. Its description in RNAcentral is "partial 16S ribosomal RNA". It matches the Rfam family "Bacterial small subunit ribosomal RNA", at positions 28 to 507 of the family's 1533-position model. The record is from RNAcentral.